AUUGAACGCUGGCGGCAGGCCUAACACAUGCAAGUCGAACGGUAACAGGAAGAAGCUUGCUUCUUUGCUGACGAGUGGCGGACGGGUGAGUAAUGUCUGGGAAACUGCCUGAUGGAGGGGGAUAACUACUGGAAACGGUAGCUAAUACCGCAUAACGUCGCAAGACCAAAGAGGGGGACCUUCUGGCCUCUUGCCAUCGGAUGUGCCCAGAUGGGAUUAGCUAGUAGGUGGGGUAACGGCUCACCUAGGCGACGAUCCCUAGCUGGUCUGAGAGGAUGACCAGCCACACUGGAACUGAGACACGGUCCAGACUCCUACGGGAGGCAGCAGUGGGGAAUAUUGCACAAUGGGCGCAAGCCUGAUGCAGCCAUGCCGCGUGUAUGAAGAAGGCCUUCGGGUUGUAAAGUACUUUCAGCGGGGAGGAAGGGAGUAAAGUUAAUACCUUGACUCAUUGACGUUACCCGAAGAAGAAGCACCGGCUAACUCCGUG
This 490-nucleotide ribosomal RNA is filed under the name uncultured bacterium. Its description in RNAcentral is "partial 16S ribosomal RNA". It matches the Rfam family "Bacterial small subunit ribosomal RNA", at positions 30 to 507 of the family's 1533-position model. The record is from RNAcentral.